Molecule: ribosomal RNA, 716 nt
Filed under: uncultured bacterium
Lineage: Bacteria
Description: bacterial SSU rRNA
Rfam family: Bacterial small subunit ribosomal RNA
Source: RNAcentral
CUUAUCGGUACUCGCGAAUGCAUNCAGAUUAUUUAUUUGAUCAUGGGCUCAGAAACGAACGCUGGCGUGCAUGCCUACACAUGCAAGUCGAACGAGACUUCGGGUCUAGUGGCGCACGGGUGCGUAACGCGUGGGAACCUGCCUUUAGGUUCGGAAUAACUCAGAGAAAUUUGAGCUAAUACCGGAUGAUGUCUUCGGACCAAAGAUUUAUCGCCUUUAGAUGGGCCCGCGUUGGAUUAGCUAGUUGGUGGGGUAAAGGCCUACCAAGGCGACGAUCCAUAGCUGGUCUGAGAGGAUGAUCAGCCACACUGGGACUGAGACACGGCCCAGACUCCUAUGGGAGGCAGCAGUGGGGAAUAUUGGACAAUGGGCGAAAGCCUGAUCCAGCAAUGCCGCGUGAGUGAUGAAGGCCUUAGGGUUGUAAAGCUCUUUUACCCGGGAUGAUAAUGACAGUACCGGGAGAAUAAGCUCCGGCUAACUCCGUGCCAGCAGCCGCGGUAAUACGGAGGGAGCUACGUUGUUCGGAAUUACUGGGCGUAAAGCGCGCGUAAGCGGGGAAUCAAGUCAGACGGUGAAAGCCCNGGGCUCAACCCCGGAACUGCUUUGGAAACUAGAUUGUAGAAAUCCUGGANAGGCGAAGUUGGAAAUUCCCNAAGUUGGUUAAACGGUGACACUUCGGAGAAUAUUUCGGGAGAACACCCAGUGGGCGAAAGCGG